UGCAGCCAAUCGCGAAGGAAAGUCAAGAAGCCAAACUUUAGGGAGAGUCCUGUGUCAAUGCCUGGACAUCCAUCUGGACAUGCAUCAGGCCUCCAUAUAACCCUCUGAUUACCCCAGGACUCACGUAUCCAGACUUUGUGACAUCUGACUAAUAACUCUCCUUGACCAGUCCUAGGGCUAAGAAUGCAGGGCUGCUAAUUCUCAAGAAUGUGCUUUUUACCAUAAGAACUUUUCUUUCUUCUCUGGAACACUUCUGGGGUUUUGCCUAGCUCUGUUUCCAGUUUGUAUAUUCUAAGAUCCUUGAAUAAAUCUUUAUCUUCGUUUCUA
Molecule: long non-coding RNA, 327 nt
Organism: Myotis brandtii (Brandt's bat)
Lineage: Eukaryota; Metazoa; Chordata; Mammalia; Chiroptera; Vespertilionidae
Exons: 2
Source: RefSeq, a predicted model, not a curated record